RNAcentral lists this ribosomal RNA (254 nucleotides) under uncultured bacterium. RNAcentral's name for it is "partial 16S ribosomal RNA". It matches the Rfam family "Bacterial small subunit ribosomal RNA", at positions 79 to 334 of the family's 1533-position model. The record is from RNAcentral.
CUUUCUUUGCUGGCGACCGGCGCACGGGUGAGUAACACGUAUCCAACCUGCCCUUUACUCGGGGAUAGCCUUUCGAAAGAAAGAUUAAUACCCGAUAGCAUAAUGAUUCCGCAUGGUUUCAUUAUUAAAGGAUUCCGGUAAAGGAUGGGGAUGCGUUCCAUUAGGUUGUUGGUGAGGUAACGGCUCACCAAGCCUUCAAUGGAUAGGGGUUCUGAGAGGAAGGUCCCCCACAUUGGAACUGAGACACGGUCCAA